Lolium perenne is the source of this 2885-nucleotide long non-coding RNA. RefSeq lists it as uncharacterized. The record is from RefSeq and is a predicted model, not a curated record. Lineage: Eukaryota; Viridiplantae; Streptophyta; Magnoliopsida; Poales; Poaceae.
UCGCCUCACACGCUCCUCCUCCCUAAUCCCCUUGCCUUCUUCUCCUUCUGCGUCCGACGGCGCUGCUGCGCCUCCCUAGUCGCCCCGCCCUUCUCCUUCUCCCUUGCCCCGUCUUCAACCCCACCCAGCAGCUCCCGUUUUUGGCCAGCCCGUGGGGAGGAGCACGGGAGGCCGCCGCCAUCCACGGCUCCUGAUGUGCGCGUCGUCGCGCGGGAAGGAGGCAUCCUUGCCGCAGGUGGAGCUCCGGCGGCCGAGCUGGCUGCAGCGCCGCCGCCUCGCUCUCGCAGAGCACGAGCCGCCGGGAUGAGCCGCAGGCUGCCGCUUGCGCCCCCACCGUGCGAGGACCAGCAGCGCUCGCCAGGGCAGGGCGGUGGAGCACGUACAUCUCAGGCAUCUCUCUCCAUGAGAAGCCCCAUGGAUCCUCUCUCGUUUGUCAUCUCCUUUUACUCAGAUUCUAUUUUAUGUAUGCUGGGAAGGUGUUUGACAUAAUUCAUGCAGGGCAAGAUUGAUCUAUUUCAUAUCUUUACUCUAUUGAUUGCUCAAUAAUUUCGUUCUUCUCUCUGUAAAAAAAUAGCUCUAGUGCGUUCCAAGAUUUUGCAUAAUUUUUUUUGCAUAAAAAUAGCUCAGUGCGUUCCAAGACUUGGUAUUCCAUUGUAGUUCCUGGUCAUCCUCCUCCUCUACAGAACUGAUUGAUGCCCUUAGGAAUAAAUUUUUUUUGUUUCAGCAUAUAUACUUCAGUCCAUAUGUGCAUUAUUUAUUCCUUGGUGUUUUGACAUGACGCUGGAUGGUGGCGAGCAGUUUCAAGGUGCACACGAGCUUCUUCUACUAUUAUUCUGUUAUUGAUGGCACAUCAUGAGAUUUGUCCAACUCCACUUUGUUUGUUCCAUAUAUACGAUGAAUUCAUGGAUUGGGAUAAAUAUUUCCUUCUUUUUUGGUCACGGUUUGGUGUUUCUCAUCUGAACAUGGAUUUAGUAUGUGCCCUUCUGCAUCCAAGCAUACCACUCUGUUCUCACAGGUUAUAUUUUUGUAUUGAAAUAUACUUCAUCACCAAAUACUAUGGCAGUAGGCUGGUUUUGAGUUAUAAAAGGUUCCAACUGUUUUAUUUUCUUUUUCUCAGUAAGGUGUAUGAUUCAUAAAAUAAAAUAAAAUCCUUAUUUGUUUUGUCCAGGAAUGGCACUCUCGACAAGGUCGAUGACAUGCUAGCAUUGGCAACGCAAGUUUAAGUAUUUAUUUCUUAUACCUUCAGAACUUAAACUCAGCUUUGAUGGUACAAUACUGAAGUGUUUGAUGGAUCGUGGAUUCGAUUUAAUUGAUGCAAGCUUGUAUGGUCCUUGGGAUUUUUAGUGAUGGCCAUUAUAUUGUGCCAGUAUUGUGGCUAUAUCCGCACCUGUUUUGGUCAACAUGGUGGAUAAAGGGUUCCUGUUAUUUUACAACUAACAGUGGCAAAACUAUUUAGGAAGGUGUACAUGACCCUUGCAGCUCUAUUCAGGUCAUAUGACAAGGGUGCCAAUGGUAUAUUGUCUGACAUGUCGAGCCUUCUGUUCUACAGGAAAUCCCAUUGUUUUAUUCAUCUAGAGAUAAUAAAGCAAUUGGAGAGAGUAAGCAGGAACACAUACAUGAAUGACUAACAGAACUUUAUGGUGGUGUCGUUGUUCUCAAGGUUACGGUGAAUCCAGGAUAAUGUGUAUCUUUUCAGCUGUACCAAAUAUUCAUCCUCUCCUUUAGGAUCGUGUGCCACUAAAUAACUAAGCAUCUGCCGCCAGCCUCCAGCGGGGUGCGGAAGAAGGUGGGCGCGAAGGGGCGGAGCAGGUGCGUGUACUGGAGGAAGGAGGCGGCGGCGCGACUGGGUCAAGGCCAUCGUCCCCGACCUGUCCUUGACCAUCACGGUCGUCCUCGACCUCCUCAACCAGCAUGAGCAAGCGGAGUGGCCUAACCGUUGCCCAGAGGAGCUUCUGGUGCCCGUCUGGAGCUCUUCCCUUCGACUUCGUGGCCUGCUCUGCCUAUUUGUUGUCACCUAGGACACCCGGCAGAGGCACAACAUGCCUUCUUCAAAGAAGACCAUCAGUGCAUGCAUGACUUCCCAGUGGAUAUGUAGAACAUUUAAGGGAGAACUGAGCCAACAAUUUCACAGCCAGGGAUAAUGUCACCAUGCUCCAACAUGCCCUUGUUUCUAGGAGGCUUGAGUGAUUGCUGAAAAUGAGUCAACGAGUAUGUGGGAGUAGUAGCGCGCUCUUCAGCAUAGGGGAGCACGAACCACCGAGACGGAUUCAUCAUCAUCGUUAUCAUCGCGGCAGAGGCAGAGGGUACGGAGGAUCCUAGGUCUCAUCUCUCUCGGAGGAUCAAAUGUAUCUCUCUCUCUCUCUCACCAGCAAUGCCCUUCCUGCAGCCAUACCUGGCCUCCUCCUCUCUCUCUCUCUCUCUCUCUCACCAACAAUUCCCUUCCUGCAGCCAUACCUGGCCUCCUCCAGCCCCGCACUGCCCCUCGCACAUCAACGAUGAUGAUCUGGAUGAACAUUGCAAGGAGGCCUCAAAUUAUUUUUACUGCACUAUAAUAGAUGAGCUUAGUAUAUCAUGUAGUUAUGUCUGUAAACCAUGUUCUAUACAUGAUUUAGCUUUCCAUAUUCAACUCCCCAAAAAUUUAAGCUCAGCUUUAUUCGAUGAUUUUCUUAUGUUUAAUGCAUCAAUUUUCUUUGCAGUACAACUAUAAGGUCUUCUUGUAGGUCUGAUCAUGACAAAUGAAUGCGAGUGGUUAAUGUUACAUUUAGUUCCGAUGUCCUGGCCAAGUCAUGCCAUUAGGAUGUCCAGGCAUAUAUGACAAAAAACUUCCUCUUCGAUCUGAAAUGGGUAAUUAUAACAGUUUUCAUUUGUUGUUUUCUUUUCUCACA